Molecule: ribosomal RNA, 1372 nt
Filed under: uncultured bacterium
Lineage: Bacteria
Description: bacterial SSU rRNA
Rfam family: Bacterial small subunit ribosomal RNA
Source: RNAcentral
GAUGAACGCUGGCGGCGUGCCUAAUACAUGCAAGUCGAGCGAACGGACGAGAAGCUUGCUUCUCUGAUGUUAGCGGCGGACGGGUGAGUAACACGUGGAUAACCUACCUAUAAGACUGGGAUAACUUCGGGAAACCGGAGCUAAUACCGGAUAAUAUUUUGAACCGCAUGGUUCAAAAGUGAAAGACGGUCUUGCUGUCACUUAUAGAUGGAUCCGCGCUGCAUUAGCUAGUUGGUAAGGUAACGGCUUACCAAGGCAACGAUGCAUAGCCGACCUGAGAGGGUGAUCGGCCACACUGGAACUGAGACACGGUCCAGACUCCUACGGGAGGCAGCAGUAGGGAAUCUUCCGCAAUGGGCGAAAGCCUGACGGAGCAACGCCGCGUGAGUGAUGAAGGUCUUCGGAUCGUAAAACUCUGUUAUUAGGGAAGAACAUAUGUGUAAGUAACUGCGCACAUCUUGACGGUACCUAAUCAGAAAGCCACGGCUAACUACGUGCCAGCAGCCGCGGUAAUACGUAGGUGGCAAGCGUUAUCCGGAAUUAUUGGGCGUAAAGCGCGCGUAGGCGGUUUUUUAAGUCUGAUGUGAAAGCCCACGGCUCAACCGUGGAGGGUCAUUGGAAACUGGAAAACUUGAGUGCAGAAGAGGAAAGUGGAAUUCCAUGUGUAGCGGUGAAAUGCGCAGAGAUAUGGAGGAACACCAGUGGCGAAGGCGACUUUCUGGUCUGUAACUGACGCUGAUGUGCGAAAGCGUGGGGAUCAGACAGGAUUAGAUACCCUGGUAGUCCACGCCGUAAACGAUGAGUGCUAAGUGUUAGGGGGUUUCCGCCCCUUAGUGCUGCAGCUAACGCAUUAAGCACUCCGCCUGGGGAGUACGACCGCAAGGUUGAAACUCAAAGGAAUUGACGGGGACCCGCACAAGCGGUGGAGCAUGUGGUUUAAUUCGAAGCAACGCGAAGAACCUUACCAAAUCUUGACAUCCUUUGACAACUCUAGAGAUAGAGCCUUCCCCUUCGGGGGACAAAGUGACAGGUGGUGCAUGGUUGUCGUCAGCUCGUGUCGUGAGAUGUUGGGUUAAGUCCCGCAACGAGCGCAACCCUUAAGCUUAGUUGCCAUCAUUAAGUUGGGCACUCUAAGUUGACUGCCGGUGACAAACCGGAGGAAGGUGGGGAUGACGUCAAAUCAUCAUGCCCCUUAUGAUUUGGGCUACACACGUGCUACAAUGGACAAUACAAAGGGCAGCGAAACCGCGAGGUCAAGCAAAUCCCAUAAAGUUGUUCUCAGUUCGGAUUGUAGUCUGCAACUCGACUACAUGAAGCUGGAAUCGCUAGUAAUCGUAGAUCAGCAUGCUACGGUGAAUACGUUCCCGGGUCU